This 179-nucleotide non-coding RNA is filed under the name Nitrosomonas sp. Nm132. Its description in RNAcentral is "6S / SsrS RNA". It matches the Rfam family "6S / SsrS RNA". Rfam says of the family: E. coli 6S RNA was the first non coding RNA to be sequenced, but its function was unknown until recently. It consists of 184 nucleotides that fold into an extended hairpin structure with a large single-stranded internal bulge. The record is from RNAcentral. Lineage: Bacteria; Pseudomonadati; Pseudomonadota; Betaproteobacteria; Nitrosomonadales; Nitrosomonadaceae.
UUUUCCCUGCAGUGUUUGUUAAGGCUCAUAUUCUUUGAACCAAUUCCUAGUAUCUGGUUGUAAACCAAAGUGAUGCUGUUGUGCGCUUCUUAAAAAAGAGGUACCUGAUGCAUACGGUUAGCAACCAUCUUGAACCUUAAGGUUCAAGAUGACAGUCUGACGGCAUUUGCGGGGAAGCU